UGCGGCCAUGGCCCAAGGGAAACGCCUGGUUCCAUUCCGAACCCAGAAGCUAAGGCUUGGCACGGCGAUGGUACUGCACUCGAUAGGGUGUGGGAGAGUAGCACGCCGCAGCAUU
RNAcentral lists this ribosomal RNA (115 nucleotides) under Bifidobacterium vansinderenii. The record is from RNAcentral. Lineage: Bacteria; Bacillati; Actinomycetota; Actinomycetes; Bifidobacteriales; Bifidobacteriaceae.